CAUGCAAGUCGAGCGGAUGUUUACGCUAUUUGCGGCCUUCGGGCCAAAGAUUUGUAAACAUUAGCGGCGGACGGGUGAGUAGCGCGUGGAUAAUCUGCCUUAUGGCUUGGGACAACAGUUCGAAAGGACUGCUAAUACCGGAUAAGCUUACGAAGCCGCAUGGUUUAGUAAGAAAAGUUCAGGCGCCAUAAGAUGAGUCCGCGUAUGAUUAGCUAGUUGGCGGGAUAAAAGCCCACCAAGGCGACGAUCAUUAGCCGGCCUGAGAGGGCGAUCGGCCACAUUGGGACUGAGACACGGCCCAAACUCCUACGGGAGGCAGCAGUGGGGAAUAUUGCACAAUGGGCGCAAGCCUGAUGCAGCAACGCCGCGUGAGGGAAGAAGGUUUUCGGAUCGUAAACCUCUAUCGAUGGGGAAGAAAUCCGCUUAGGCGGAUUGACGGUACCCAAGUAAGAAGCCCCGGCUAACUACGUGCCAGCAGCCGCGGUAAUACGUAGGGGGCAAGCGUUAUCCGGAAUUACUGGGUGUAAAGGGUGAGUAGCCGGCUGGGCAAGUCACAUGUGAAAUUCCUAGGCUUAACCUAGGAACCGCAUGAGAAACUGCCAAGCUAGAGUACAGGAGAGGUAAGCGGAAUUCCUUGUGUAGCGGUGAAAUGCGUAGAUAUAAGGAAGAACACCAGUGGCGAAGGCGGCUUACUGGACUGAAACUGACGGUGAGUCACGAAAGCGUGGGGAGCGAACAGGAUUAGAUACCCUGGUAGUCCACGCCGUAAACGAUGAUAGCUAGGUGUUGGGGUGAGAGCCUCGGUGCCGGAGCAAACGCAAUAAGCUAUCCACCUAGGGAGUACGGCCGCAAGGCUGAAACUUAAAGGAAUUGACGGGGGCCCGCACAAGCGGUGGAGCAUGUGGUUUAAUUCGACGCAACGCGAAGAACCUUACCAAGGCUUGACAUCCCGCUGACCGGUACAGAGAUGUACCUUCCCUUCGGGGCAGCGGAGACAGGUGGUGCAUGGUUGUCGUCAGCUCGUGUCGUGAGAUGUUGGGUUAAGUCCCGCAACGAGCGCAACCCUUACUUUUAGUAGCCAGCGAGUAAAGUCGGGUACGCUAGAGGGACUGCCGUGGAGAACACGGAGGAAGGUGGGGAUGAUGUCAAAUCAUCAUGCCCCUUAUGUCUUGGGCUACACACGUGCUACAAUGGCGCAUACAAAGUGAAGCGAAAGCGUGAGCUGGAGCCAAUCACAAAAAGGCGCCUCAGUUCGGAUUGUAGGCUGCAACCCGCCUGCAUGAAGUUGGAAUCGCUAGUAAUCGCGAAUCAGCAUGUCGCGGUGAAUACGUUCCCGGGCCUUGUACACACCGCCCGUCACACCAUGGGAGUUGGAAGCGCCCGAAGCCUGUGACCUAACGCGCAAGCGAAGGAGCAGUCGAAGGUGAAGUCAGCGACUGGGGUG
RNAcentral lists this ribosomal RNA (1444 nucleotides) under uncultured Bacillota bacterium. Its description in RNAcentral is "bacterial SSU rRNA". It matches the Rfam family "Bacterial small subunit ribosomal RNA". The record is from RNAcentral. Lineage: Bacteria; Bacillati; Bacillota.